Molecule: non-coding RNA, 129 nt
Organism: Triticum aestivum (bread wheat)
Lineage: Eukaryota; Viridiplantae; Streptophyta; Magnoliopsida; Poales; Poaceae
Source: Rfam
AAAGUACUCCCUCCGUCCGGAAAUACUUAUCAUCAAGAUGUAUAAAAAUGGGUGUAUCUAGAUUAUUCUAGAUACGUCCCAUUUUUAUCCAUCUUGAUGACAAGUAUUUCCGGACGGAGGGAGUAGUAA